UACGUAGGGUGCAAGCGUUGUCCGGAAUUAUUGGGCGUAAAGAGCUCGUAGGCGGUUUGUCGCGUCUGCUGUGAAAACUCAGGGCUUAACCCUGAGCCUGCAGUGGGUACGGGCAGACUAGAGUGUGGUAGGGGAAAUCGGAAUUCCUGGUGUAGCGGUGGAAUGCGCAGAUAUCAGGAGGAACACCGGUGGCGAAGGCGGAUCUCUGGGCCAUAACUGACGCUGAGGAGCGAAAGCAUGGGGAGCGAACAGG
This 253-nucleotide ribosomal RNA is filed under the name uncultured bacterium. RNAcentral's name for it is "partial 16S ribosomal RNA". It matches the Rfam family "Bacterial small subunit ribosomal RNA", at positions 524 to 776 of the family's 1533-position model. The record is from RNAcentral.